RNAcentral lists this long non-coding RNA (209 nucleotides) under Elaeis guineensis (African oil palm). RNAcentral describes it as "long non-coding RNA (EGUI_LNC034924)". Lineage: Eukaryota; Viridiplantae; Streptophyta; Magnoliopsida; Arecales; Arecaceae. The record is from RNAcentral.
AAAGAGUGUGGGCAAUAACUGUUAGGUUAGCCCACAUAAUUUAGAAACUAAGUCACUGUAAUAUGCUUAAAGAAGCAACUAGACAAAGAGUUAUUCAUGCAUCGAUGUGCAUGUUAUCAAUAACUAUUAGAUGAGAUGCACGAUAUCGAUGGGACCGUAGCAUCUACUAGAAAUUCAGUCAUCGCAUUAAGAUUUUCGCUUCUCCAUCU